GCGACCCCAGGUCAGGCGGGAUCACCCGCUGAGUUUAAGCAUAUCAAUAAGCGGAGGAGAAGAAACUUACAAGGAUUCCCCUAGUAACGGCGAGCGAACCGGGAAUAGCCCAAC
This 114-nucleotide ribosomal RNA is filed under the name Streptocarpus cyaneus. RNAcentral describes it as "partial 28S ribosomal RNA". It matches the Rfam family "Eukaryotic large subunit ribosomal RNA", at positions 1 to 113 of the family's 3401-position model. Lineage: Eukaryota; Viridiplantae; Streptophyta; Magnoliopsida; Lamiales; Gesneriaceae. RNAcentral also lists the same sequence under 1 other name. The record is from RNAcentral.